GCUGGCGGCGUGGAUAAGACAUGCAAGUCGAACGGGGUUAGUUUUGUAGCAAUACAAAAUUGACUCAGUGGCGAACGGGUGCGUAACACGUGACUUACUUGCCCAGAAGUGGGGAAUAGCUCGCCGAAAGGCGAAUUAAUACCGCAUGUGAUCGCAAGAUCAAAGCAGCAAUGCGCUUUUGGAUGGGGUCGCGGCCUAUCAGCUAGUUGGUGGGGUAAAAGCCUACCAAGGCAACGACGGGUAGCUGGUCUGAGAGGACGACCAGCCACACUGGAACUGAGACACGGUCCAGACACCUACGGGUGGCAGCAGUCGAGAAUUUUUCUCAAUGGGGGAAACCCUGAAGGAGCGACGCCGCGUGGAGGAUGAAGGCUUUCGGGUUGUAAACUCCUGUCAUUCNNGGAACAAAACUCGCAAGAGCUUGAUAGUACCGGAAGAGGAAGAGACGGCUAACUCUGUGCCAGCAGCCGCGGUAAUACAGAGGUCUCAAGCGUUGUUCGGAUUCAUUGGGCGUAAAGGGCGCGUA
Molecule: ribosomal RNA, 526 nt
Filed under: uncultured soil bacterium
Lineage: Bacteria
Description: bacterial SSU rRNA
Rfam family: Bacterial small subunit ribosomal RNA
Source: RNAcentral